This 406-nucleotide long non-coding RNA is filed under the name Phascolarctos cinereus (koala). RNAcentral describes it as "lncRNA (ENSPCIG00000034656.1)". The record is from RNAcentral. Lineage: Eukaryota; Metazoa; Chordata; Mammalia; Diprotodontia; Phascolarctidae.
UGGAGGAGGAAAGAGGUAAGAAGAAAAUGGUGACAAGCUGGACAGCUAACAGAAGGGUGAAGUUAGGAGGCCUGAAGUCAAGCCACUAGCAUCAUUAUCCAAAAGUUAUUUUUGGGGAGAAAUAACAACAUUUUCAAAACUAAUUGAACUAGAGACCAUGUUUAGGUUGGAAAUACCCACUCGGUCACUUCAACUAGGAUGUUUUGGCAACACAUCUGUCCCUUACUGGUUUGGUGAAUGCUCUGAUGAUAUCUGUAAUACUAGGCACCACAGAGUUUAUGGGCUCUGUGGUAGAUGCAGACAUCGAUGAAAUUGAGGAGAACAGGAAAGAAACUUACUUUAUCAGGAUGAAACUCAUAUGACUCUUGGCUUGGGUAGUCAGCCCCUGGACUGUUGCCCGUUCCAG